Molecule: long non-coding RNA, 274 nt
Filed under: Gallus gallus (chicken)
Lineage: Eukaryota; Metazoa; Chordata; Aves; Galliformes; Phasianidae
Source: RNAcentral
GCUGUUCUCUCAAGGUGAUCCAUUUUCCUUUUUGAUUGUAUUGUGCCAUUCGCUGUACAGUAACAAGAAGCAGAGUGCCUCAACGCCACCAGUGCAGAAUGAGCAGGACAAAGUCUGCAGGCACUUCUCAGUAAGUGAGGAAUAGUAAAGCCCAUGUAUGUGGUAACACGAGCCAUGAUAACCAGGCUGUCUUUAGAAUCACCAGCUCCCUGAGAGCCACAGGCCCCGGGUUAAUGCACCAUGACAUCUACCGCUGCGGCCUCUUCUUUCCUCA